CUACGGGCGGCUGCAGUGGGGAAUAUUGGACAAUGGGGGGAAACCCUGAUCCAGCAAUGCCGCGUGUGUGAAGAAGGCCUGCGGGUUGUAAAGCACUUUCGGUUGGGAGGACUGCUUCUAGCACUAAUAUUGUUGGAAGUUGACGUUACCUUCAGAAGAAGCACCGGCUAACUCCGUGCCAGCAGCCGCGGUAAUACGGAGGGUGCGAGCGUUAAUCGGAAUUACUGGGCGUAAAGCGCGCGUAGGCGGCUAGAUCAGUCGGGUGUGAAAGCCCUGGGCUUAACCUGGGAACUGCAUCCGAUACUGUCUAGCUUGAGUACAGGAGAGGAGAGUGGAAUUCCACAUGUAGCGGUGAAAUGCGUAGAUAUGUGGAGGAACACCAAUGGCGAAGGCAGCUCUCUGGCCUGAUACUGACGCUGAGGUGCGAAAGCGUGGGGAGCAAACAGGAUUAGAUACCCUAGUAGUC
Molecule: ribosomal RNA, 466 nt
Filed under: uncultured bacterium
Lineage: Bacteria
Description: partial 16S ribosomal RNA
Rfam family: Bacterial small subunit ribosomal RNA
Source: RNAcentral